GGGGAUGUAACGGCUUCGACGGGUGAAGAGUGCAGUAGGCAGCGUGUCGAGCUUCUUGGUAUGCUCGUAAAUCUCGCCAAGAAUUGUGCAAAUGCGAACGAUUACGCAUACGCGAUGGCAGCUUAAAUAGCCAUCUGUUCCGCGCCAGGUUCGUCCACUGGCGGGCGUUGGGGCAUCAACUUUAGGUGGACUGGCAACUCAGAUGCCGACUGAAUACGGAGUUGCAAGAUUGAUCAGUCUUUGCGGGGUUCUUGCCUUGCCAUCCGGCGUACGAACUCUGUGAGCAUUUAAUAGGAGGGCUACACACGUAGACGCUUGCCUGAACAUUCAUUCGGACCCGGGUUCGACUCCCGGCAUCUCCACCU
RNAcentral lists this transfer-messenger RNA (365 nucleotides) under Bacteroidota bacterium. Its description in RNAcentral is "Bacteroidetes bacterium transfer-messenger RNA". It matches the Rfam family "transfer-messenger RNA". From Rfam's summary of the family: Bacterial tmRNA, also known as 10Sa RNA or SsrA, is named for its dual tRNA and mRNA-like properties. The record is from RNAcentral. Lineage: Bacteria; Pseudomonadati; Bacteroidota.